Long non-coding RNA from Patella vulgata (common limpet), 510 nucleotides. RefSeq lists it as uncharacterized. NCBI's taxonomy places the organism in Eukaryota, Metazoa, Mollusca, Gastropoda, Patellidae. The transcript is spliced from 4 exons. The record is from RefSeq and is a predicted model, not a curated record.
UCCCUUGUGAAUUGUGAAAUAUUAACUGUUCACGUUUUUGAAGAGUAUUCCGUAAAAAUGAGGAACUGUUUGUGCUUUUUUCUGUAUACUCUCUGUUUAAUGCUGUUUGUCUCCAAGAUAUGUGCAUUUACAGCUCUACAAUGGAAGGAUCCACCUGGAGCUGAUGUCCCAUGUACUACACCAGUUGGUAUUCUCCAAGUAGGAGAAUCAAAGAAAUCUUACACAGAGUGUAUCGAAUAUCAUUGUGGAACGGGUUAUAUUAACAUUGCCGGCAUCGGUUACAAUGGCGGGGUUUUUGAUUAUGAAGGAUGUUUCCAGGUAAAUUUGGAUAACUGUUGCUUUAAGUUUAUGAAUUCUACCAAUCCAUCUAAAAGCUGUACAGAACCUGAAUGUCCGUACAAAGAUUAAUAAUGUACUGGUUAUUAAUUGAUGCUGUAUUUCAAAAUACUUUUCUAGAUAAAAUAAUUGAAAUAUAAAUUGGCAAAUAAAAAUCAUCUGUGAGGUUGAGAA